This 30-nucleotide non-coding RNA is filed under the name Mus musculus (house mouse). Lineage: Eukaryota; Metazoa; Chordata; Mammalia; Rodentia; Muridae. The record is from RNAcentral.
UGCACAGACUAGUCUCUGAGGGACACGGGA